UUCUGGAAGGGCUGCGCCCGGCGGAUAUCGACCUCCCAGAGAUCGAAGGGCGGCUCGCC
RNAcentral lists this small RNA (59 nucleotides) under Sinorhizobium meliloti 2011. RNAcentral describes it as "putative ncRNA". Lineage: Bacteria; Pseudomonadati; Pseudomonadota; Alphaproteobacteria; Hyphomicrobiales; Rhizobiaceae. The record is from RNAcentral.